This 10669-nucleotide long non-coding RNA is filed under the name Gallus gallus (chicken). Its description in RNAcentral is "lncRNA (ENSGALG00010000565.1)". The record is from RNAcentral. Lineage: Eukaryota; Metazoa; Chordata; Aves; Galliformes; Phasianidae.
CUCUGAAGCUGCAUGCUGCCCAAGCACAGCAAAGAUUUUAUUGUUGUUUUUUGUUUUCCCCUCCUUCUCACUGCCUACAGAGCCAAAGGGCCUGUUUGUUUUCCUCUUAGUUAUCAGAAAGGUUUAUUUGCGAUUGCUUGAGAGAGGAAAAAAACCCUCUGUAGCCACAGGCAGACAAGCUCAGUGCUCAGGAACAUAAUGGCUGGAGCCUGCAGGCCCAUAUGCUCGCCAUCCUGUGAGGUGGAAGGCCAGCUCCGAUCAUCUCCAGCUGCUCAGGAUACAAUUGAUCAGGAUCUCCUACACACUGCAACCUUUUACAGCCCACUAUCGCUCAAUCCAGAAGCACAGACUGCUAAUAGCAUGAGAUGAAUAAGUGAGUACAUAUCUAUUUUUUAUUACUCAAGCCAUUUCAAGAAUUCUCAGAUAAUUAACUCUGAAUACUUUUUCAUCUGUUUUCCCUCAAAAAUCUUCCCAUUUGACUUAAAACCCUUAUUUGCGGUCCAAGCAGCAGCACACUUAAUCACACUGAACAAGGCACAGCAGCUUUUGAAGAUGCCUUAAAGCAUCUGAAGAAUCUGAAACCAAGGCAUAGGAAAUAGGAUUGCUCUCAUGAAGCCUUUCCUUGCCUCAAAAAGAUAUGUGCCCCCCUCCUAGGCCUUAGUAGAGACAGCAGAGAUCCCAACCCCAGUAGCAGGGGAUGCAGCACCCUUCAGUUUGGGUGUUUCUGCAACACUAUGUCAGCAUAGACAAACACUGACUCAAGGCAACACACUACUGAAUCAAAAUAUUUUUAUUUGAUAAGACAAACUCAACAGCUGUCUAGACUUCAGCUGACCAGACUCACAAUGGAUGUUUCCUUUUCAACUUCCCCUGUUUACCCUCAUCCCUGCAUCCCUGCCAUCAUUCUGUUUGGCGAUGGUGGCCAAAUAUGUUCCCUUCUCCUUGCCUCCAAAUCUCUCCAUUGAACCUUCAGAGGCCCAGUUCUUCUGGAUCAUCUCCCACUGCUUGCUUACAGGGAGCCAAUGCAACAGGACUCUGGACUUCUUUGGGAAAUCCCGCAUGUGGCUUUAAUGAUAAACAAUUAUUUUAGUGGUUUGCUUUCAAGGUGUUGUACAAGUACUUCCCACAACCCACUAAGGAAGUAAAAAGCCUCGUUUCAAUUGGUAAAGGACUUAAAGAAUUCAGUGGGCCUUGCCAAAAUGCCCUUGUCUACCUAUUCUAAUAAAAUAAUCCUGCCCCUGAUCACAGCUACACCCAGCCUGCAAGUUCUCUUGCACAAAGCACACUUGAGAGGUCACAGUGGGAGGUCUAUUCUCACAUCAAAUUAAAGCCAGACAGAAUCAAUUAAAGCAAAAAAGGAUGGGGUCUGCUGAGAUGACAGAAGGCAUUUGGGGCAAAUGCUCACAGCUGAAUGCAGAAGAGAUGCCAUUGCUCAAGCUUUCUUGCUCCUCCAUAGAAGCUGGGGCCCAACAAUAUGUCUCCAGAAGACUGGCAACUGCUGGUUGUAAUAUUUUGCGGUGCCUCAUGAUGCUUAAUAGAAAGAAGAGUAAAGUUUCAGAAGAAUAGAAUAGGAUAUGAAUGGGACAUCAAAAAUCAUCAGAGGAGGGACUUUUAGACACUCCCUUCUGUUAUUCAGAGAUGACUAAUUCCAGUGAGGGCCCUGAAGUAAGAACAGCAAAUUCACAAAAAAUCCCCACCAAACUCACAGAUGGAUUUCAUUCCUCUGUAAGACUCAUUCUCCACAAGAUCUGUGUAUUUACACUUGCUCCUAUAGCCCACCAGAAAUGCUCUCUGAUGACCCAAGGCCAUUCCCCUAGGCUUGCCUGAAGCCAGCCCUGCCUGCAGGGCCUAUGGCAGAGCAUUUCAGCCAACACCCUCAACAACAGUUGCUGGCUUUGUAACUCUAAUUCCCUCCAGGCCAUACCCUUCUCUUCCUCAUCUGGCAUGUUCAGCCUACAUGUUCAACUUGUCACCUGCAAGGGAGAUCAGGGGUCAGCUGGGUGCUUGAACAUCUCUCAGCUUGGGGCACUUUGAAUCAAUUCCAACUCUCCCCACUCCCAAGAAAGGUGUUAAUUGGAACAGGAAAAGAACGAGAGAAAUAAAUUUUCUUUAGAGAGAUGCUGACACAGUCCCCAGUUAGUGAAGGAGGAUUUUUCGGUGCUGUUUCCUCCCCUCUUCACUGUAAAUUCUCCAGUGUUCCAAUAACAGCUCCCUAAUCCCCAGACAUCCAGGGGGGUCAAAUGCCUCUGCAUCCUGAGAUCCCUAGCUUCCACUGAGAGCAAGUGAGCAGCAUUAGCUCUUCUGAGUUUGCCUGGCUGGGCUGAUUUGUGGUGUGAACACACACUAAUUAGCCAUUUAACUUAAGAACUAAGACUCCCAGGAGAAAAAGAUUUCAGAGGGGAAUUCGGAGCUCUUCAGGCUGAAAUUAUCAUCAAGUGCCUAAUGUAACUGCUCUGCUUCUCCUUUCCAAGACUUCUUUUCCUCCAUCUGACUAUCUAAUAAAACAGGCAGUAUGAAUGCUUCCACGUCUUUACCAAACCACGGGUGGCGUAUCCUCUCUUGAAGUCACUUGGGUAAAUUCACAACACAUUUUUGUCUUCUGGAUUUGAAUAGGGAAAAGGAAGGUGGCUGUUCAAGAGAUAAGCAACAAGAGAUACUUCAUACCUCCUACACAGUGGUUUGCAACUCACAGAAUACAGUUGAAAACUCUAAGCCUACCAGCCUGUAAAGCAAUUCUUAAAGAUGAAAGAUGCUCUGAAAGCUAGACUUGAACUGGAUUGACUUUUAAAUAUGAUCAAAUCUUAGUUUAAAUCUCAAUCCAAGCAUCAAAUCUGAGUCUGAAUUUUAAAACAAGUCUUACGUUAGCUGGACAUUCACAAUUAUUCGAAAGUCUCUUUAAACAACCCCUAUGAAUUGCUAUUGUUGGCCACUUUGCUUAUGUAUAUCCAGAGACUGAAAAGCCUGUAUUUAUGGUAUUACCAAUUCCAGCACUGCCAGGCCAACCAACCUGAACUUAGCACAAUACUUUCCCCAGAUUGUUCCCUUCCUGACAGAAAAGACAAGAGACUGACUUUGUGCAUGGUUUGGAAAGCUUCCAAAUAGUUUAGCAGGGCCCUGUUAAGUGAUUUAAUCCUCUGAAAAGAUGGAAGCUGUGCAAUUUUUGGCUUUACAUAAGAUAAUAGCCCAACUUACUAACUGUAAAAUAAAACUUACUGGGUAGGCUAGUCUACUGGAGGAAGCCUUGGCCUGGGAUUUGGGAGACUUGCAGCAGGAUUCAGAUCACCUGAUCAAGUACCUAAACCAUGACUUUGUUCAAACACCCAGAAUAUCCACUCUCCAGUGUUUCCUAUUUCAGAAGGUCCCAGAUCUCAUCAACGCCUAUUUCAGGAUGCAAUAUCCUCCCCUGCAGCUGUGUAGAAGCCCUUCUAGGUAGGUAAAUUACAGACAUAAUCCCUUUUUCUGUAGCAGUCCAGAUCCUGACAGCCAUCCAAAGUUCCUGACCAGCGAAAGUGCUCUUACAAGGUUCCCAGCUCAGCAGAGGACAACACCAUGAUGCUUAUGGAUGCAUCUGACUCUCAGUUAAUUCUACAAAUUACCUAGGCACCCACAUGCCAUUGUCUUUGGGCAAGCAUCCACAUCAGGUGCCACAAUGCCUAAGGCAGGCAUGUAAACUAGGUAUUACAGUAUGAGAUUGGAUUUCCAAUCCUGAAUUUGAAACUGUCCUGCUAGACGAUUUUUAAGACACUUCACCUCUGAGUGCCUCUCUUUAAAAUGUUAAGACAGGUAACAAUCACAGUGCAUUGGAAGUAAGACAGCAAUUAGUUCUAGGUGCUUGUGAAUAAAACAUGCUUUACUGAAGACAUGAAAAGACUCAAUAAAUGGGUCGCUAAAUGAAUCUGAAGACCUUUGUGAUACUGGAUAAUUUGGCUAAGAUAGGAUAGUAUUAGAAAGUAAAACCAAGCAGAUGUCUUGGUCACUAUUGUGACUCCACAGAACUAAAUUCUUGUUACCAGUAAACAAUAGCCCUUCCACUUCUAACAAGAGAACCUGUCUUUAGUCUGCCACAAAACAAACAAACAAACAAAAAAACCUGUUAAAAUCUUUUUGAUGUUGCUACAAGGAAAGUGUGAAAAACCUGCCAUUAUGACAGCUCUCCCCAUCUCCGGAGCCAAGCUCUACAGACAGCCAAUAUCAUGUGCGUCCACAUGUGACGGAUCUUACUUGGGCAUGAAAUUUUCAUUAGUUCUUGAGCAGUGCACAGAGGCAGGGUUUAACCAAUCUAAUGAGCUAACACAUACCACUGCCUGACUGGUUAUAGCAGCAAAAAAAGCCAAGAAGGGAAUUUGAUUGAUCCUGUAUACCACUCUUGAUAUAUUUUUCCACCUUACGCUACAACAGCAUUACCAGUUCUUCUACAACAGAGAAGAGAAUGCUACAGGCCAGUAACUUGAGAAGAUCUUUGUUUCCCUCUAUAAUUUCUGUAGACACAAUAAAAAUGAUUUUAUCAGUGAGAAGUGACUCCAGUUUGUUCUUCAGUAGAACAACUUCUAGAGGAAGUCCUGAAAACACAAAAAGCAAGGGUGCUUGUUUUUGUUUUCUGAAUAGAAACUGCCAGACAAAUCCUCAAGCUCUCUAAUACAUGUGAAAUCUUAAGUAACAUCAGCAUCUCUUAGAACUCUGAGCUGGAAUCAAAGACCAUAGAAAAGACCUUUCAGAGUGCAGUAAACUGGCAGUUCACUUCAUCUCACAAGGCAACCUAUUCCUCCUCUUCAGUAUGAUGCCCACAGGAGCUGAACUCUGAGCAGAACCCAUUAAAACUAAGUUCUCCCUUCUGUGUGUUCUUACUCCAAGCAUAGCACUACGCAUAACAGAAAAAUGACAGCACCCACUCCCAAGAAAUUAAAUCCCUGGAUAGCCUUUGAAACAUCUGAAUAUCAUAUUAAUGUAAGAAGGCUUAUACUCCUAGCCCCCGGUCCCCCAGUAUUACCAAGAAGGUACUAACAGCAGACAAUACAAGCACAGAACACUUUUUCAAGCUCCUCUUGCAUCAUAGCUCUGGACACCAGAAAAUUCCUGUAGUUUUCUGAGAAAGAAAAUAUUCACAUCUCAAUGAAAGGAAAAAUAAAGUCACCAUCACCUCAAGAUGGGAAGAAUUUCAGGUGACAUAAGAAUAAAAGUAACCCAUAGAUUGAAAAAGAGCAAGUUUGGCCUCAAUAACAUUUGAACAAAACAUUUGUACUUGAAAUAUCCAAACCAGGGGUAUGUUUCCCAGCAAGGAAUCCUGCCACUGAUACAUAUAGGUCCAGGGCUUUCUCCUCUAAAGACCGAGAUAACAUUCAGAAGAUGAUCCAAUAUACAACAGUCCAGUUUCACUGCACGUCUUCACACAGCUGGACCAACAGCCCACUCAGAGGCAAAUCACAGAAAGAAAGGCUGUGAGCUCUGUGAGUACUAAUGGAGGCUCUUUACAGCUCCUCGCAGAGCACUCACUUUCAUGCUGACAAGCACUGUCUGCGAUCCGCAGGAGCGACUCGCGUUCCUUUGCCCACGAAGCCGCCCGUCUGUCCCGGCCCGCGUCGCGCAGCCACGCAGGACCAUGGACAGCAGUCCCGCGGCGUGGCACGGCGCUCGGCCGCCCGGCCCUGGAGCCCCGGCACCUGGCAGCUUCCAGCCAUUUUUAAUUAAUUACCCUCGGCUAGGUGAUGAAUUCACUUGUAUAAAGUGCCUGGAACCAAUUCUGUGCAUCCUGAGGUGCUGCAGUCCUCCAGUGAGCGCACGUUAGUCCAAGGAAUAUCACUAAAUGGAGUGUAUAAAAAAGAUGGAGACUUAUUUUUUAUGUGGUCUGAUAGCGAUAAUGAGGAGGACUGGUUUUAAACUAAAAGAAGGGAGGAUGAAGUUAGAUGUUAGGGGGAAAUUCUUUACUCAGAGGGCUGUGAGGCCCUGGCACUGCUGCCCACAGAAGUGUGGGUACCCCAUCCCUGGUGGUGCCCAAGGCUACAUUGGAUAGGACCCAGGGAAGCCUGAGCUGGUUGGGGGGCAGCCAGCUCACGGUGGGGGAGGGUUGAACUAGAUGAACUUUAAGGUCCCUUCCAACCCAGGCUAUUCUAUGGUUCUAUGAUUGCCACUGCUGAGAAGAAAGUCUUAGUGGAACACCUUGGUCAGUCUUUCUACUGUUUUGUACACAAAAGCCUGUUCUCCAGUCUGAUAACUAGGAUGUAAUGACAGCAUUUAGUGGAACACCUAUGAGCCUCUCUCAGCAUCCAUGGUUACAUAGCCCCUGGCUUUCAAGACUCACAAACAACUCCCGUGCAAAGCCAAGUUGUUAAACAUCCACAUACUCUGUUUUCUCUGCAUCUCCAUUCAUGCCUUGUGAAUUCAUAAAACAAGCAAGAAACAGUGUGAUGGUGCCUCAUUUGUGUAUCAACUAUUUUAUACAACUGUAUUUACAACUGUGCCACACUGGGUGCAUAUAGCCUUCCAUAAAGAAAGAAGGGAUGGUGCAUUAUCUCUGCCUUAGUACAAUAUCAAUAUCAUUUUACUGAGGACUAAUUAUUAAUUCUCUCACUUAGAAAUUUUCACAGAAGACUAUAAGUAGACUAUCAGCCAAAUUUAACUAGCUGCCAGCAGCCACUCAGACAAAGAACACAUUACUAAGAAUCUACAAGACCAGUGAUCCUAUAAGGUUUCGUUCUUAUUCAGCAUCCAAAGUUCAACUUGGAGGAUGAGGAAAAUGAGAGAAAUGGCUAGUGACAGUAAGCCUUGAUGGGGUCAUGGGCUUUGCAACAGCUUCAACAUGCAGGCGGGUGAAAACAUCACUCACAAAGUAAAGGGACAGAGGAAAGAAAUGAAAAAGGGGGAGGGGAGGGAAGGAAAGAAAAAGGGAAGGUUGAUGGACAGUUGGACUUGUUGAGGGUGAAAUCAAUUAAAGUGCAUCAAAUCCAGAAUUCAUGCUUUUUCAAAGUGACAAAUAUGUGCUGGAAACUGAGAAAGACGAAGGGAAAAUAAUGUCUUUGACCUCCCAGAGACCGGCUGUUCCUUCCGUCAGAGGAGCCAAAAGUGAAGUGAGAUGCAUUCAUGAUAAAUUGUAACAGCCAGGCAGCCACCUUAAAAAAGAACGAGGUGAAAAGGUUACAGAAGGGACCCAAAAUGCAAAGAAUUCAACCAAACAUCAAGAUAAAUCAACUCAGGCCCUUGUGUAUGCGUGCCCAGCCUUCACAGAGCUGCUCCAGCUCAUCUCAAUUUGUUAGUCUUACUUAAAGUGUAAGAGACACACACAAACACAGCUUGUUUACCAAAGCUUUUGUAAACAGUGUUCCAAAAGAUCGACUCAGUGAAGGCUGAGGCCUUUCCAAGCCGAAGGAUGCAUUGACCACUUUACCUGUGGCAACUGCUAAACAGCUAGAGCAGGUCUUCAGCGCACAUAAAUACCCUGCAUUCUGUUCAAUUCAGAUGAGUUUUGGGUAAAACUUUUUAAGGAGCUAGAGACCUUGUUCUUAAACAGUAUGGAAAGCAAAUAUUCUCAAAGCUUCAGAAAGGGAAAUCUUGGGGUAUGCCUUAUUAUUUUCUCGCAUUUAUAGAUAAUUUUCUGGCUUUCAGCUUCAAAGCACCAUAGAAAUGUUAGUCUAGAUGCACUGCAGCUUUAGAUCUUUUCACUUGCUUGCAAACAGAAAACAUUCAAUUUGAUCAUUACUAUCAUGGAGUUUAACACAAAGCUUGAAUACCAGAAAAUCAGAGGGUACAAGAUAUCUACUAAUAAAAUUUGUUUGAAACAUUCCUUUAAACAUUAUGCCCCUCUGGAAAACAUGACUUUACAGCACCAAUACAUACAUUCUCAACUCACUACAUGCCCAAGCAAAUGUCAAGGUAAAACUGAACUAAACAUUAAAAAAAAUGAUUCACCUCCCCCAGCACUGACGUUUUCCACGGAGAGGAACAACUACAUGCACAGCCAACUACGGUUAAAGUUCUCCUCCUCAAUCAGUUCUAGCAAAAAGCUCCCCCAGUGAUGUACACAGUACUUUAAGUGAAUCAAAGUCAGUCAAAGCAGUCUUUUCAGGGGAUAUUUAGUGCAAUUCAGUACACUUGUUCACAUAAGACAGGGUAUACCUAAUACACCCCCCAUUCAGAUGCUCAGACCUUGACAUCAUACUGACUCCCAGACUUAGAGGAGUUUUGUGAUACCUGCUUCUUCUCGAACUUUUAGUAAUAGCAAUCAAUCUUACCAUUAGACCUUCGAGUAAAAGUGGCCCAAGCCAGAUAGACCUUUGCAGAGGUCACUGAAGACAGCAUGUGUGCUCUCCUUUCUUGAGCUGUUACUGGCACUGAGGGGACUAUAACAGGUAGUUCACAGCAGUCCAGGUACCAUCAGUUGAGCCUCUUAACACAUAGCUGACUGCUCUGUGGAUGGUCAUGCUCGUGUAGUCCUAAGCAUGGGAGAUGCAGGAGAUUCCCAGCUGCACUGGGGAAUUUCUGCUGCCUGGGAUCCAAGCUGGCAUCAAGAGCUUACUGUUGCAAACACUGGCACCAAGGGGAAGGAAGCUCAUAUUGACACUGUGGCUGUGAGGAAGCUUAGCUAUCAAGUCCUAGCUGGCAUCCUCACAACUCUGCCUUCAGAAAGCACUGGUGAUCAUCUAGCCAACUCCUCCUGACAGAUGCCCACCCCACUGUUGCAUUCUUCUUCACGACAACCCUCUCUGGACGGUCCCUUCCCCGAAACAGCAUGAUUCUCUCAGGGAGACACGAGUUCACAUCAACAAAUUCUUCCCGACACUGCCCUGAAGCACUUUCGCUAUGAUCAGCUAUUCAGAGUGAUGGGACACACUAGUUAGAUCUCUCUGUGUGUUUAUCAAUCCCUUCUCAGCCAUUUUCCUCUGUAAAUCCGUCAAACCUCUUUUUUCAAGCUCUGUGGGAACAGUUAGGAGCUAUCUCCUCAGAGGUGCCUGCCCUGCCACUUGGAUUUCAUCCUCUUCUGGAGGAGAUGGCUGCCAGCAGCCAGAAGGCUGACCCAUGCAGUGCAGGCACAACAGCAACACUGCUACUGCCAGUGCCCCUGGAGUGGAUCAGUCCUCGUGAAAACCUCUUAGGAUAUCCGCUGCUCCUGUGCAGGAGUCAGAGAGGGCUACUCUUAAACUGGGACAAAGGGAGAAUGUGAAAAGCACAAGGAGGAAGUCAAGGGAGUGGGGAUUCUGUAAUCCUUCAAAUCAGAAACAAGCACCUUGUUCCAAGCUGAACCAGGAUAUGAAUCACGCUGCUCCAGGGGACAACGGCAUUUUACAGUAUUUCAAGGACACAAGACCUACAGGUACAUUUAACUUCUCACGCAUAUCAAUAUUUCAACUCUCUACUGCUAUGAUCCCUAGCCAAUAUGAUGCAAGACAUUUAUAUGGUAACAAAUCAAGAAAAGAAUCAAUUACAUUGCUACAACAGAUGUAAAUGAAGCCACAUACACCACCAAUAGAUUUGGGUCUUGUAAAGCUCCUUUCAUCACUCCAGGAAACUUGGAGCUUUAAAAGACGUGCAUCUUCCCUUUUCAGUAGGGACUAUCAGAUGGUGUUUGCCUUAUAUUAAUGCUCACAGCCUUCAUGGAUGGCAGUGAAUUGCCAGGCAGUCUAAUUCAUCAUAGAUGCUGUCCCGUAACACUAGAGAACACAGCCUAGAUACAGUUUGAUUGUGCAGAUCUAGGUCAGCAUCCUGCAUCCUGACAAACGUCAGAUGAGAACACUUAUUUCUCCUUUCACACUUGUCAUCAGCCAGGCUGGUUAUCAGCUCCAUUUGCAGCCAUGGAAUGAGGCCCAAAGCCACAAAGUGACUUGGCUCAGGCCUCUUUGCAAGCCAGUGCCUCCAGGAAUCAAGCCCAUGGAAGCAGCCUCCAGGUCCUCAAUGCCACCACCCAAAGCCAGGCCACAAUCAUAACACUAACUCACAGUGCAGCUGGGAAGUUAUAUACAGUGGAGGGCCAAUAAAUGCCAUUUGUAGAGAUCAGCACUUAGAUUUCUGAAACAUCUACCUGAUGAGUAUACCACCAUGUUUCUGAUGGCCUGUAGAGCUUUCCUCAUAAUAACAAAAAUACCAGAAUUUAGGACAACACCUACUGUGUCCCAACAAGCUGCCUAUUCUUUCUUUGCUCACUAGCCAGAAGGUUAUGGAUCCUUUUCUUCAAGCCCUGCAGAAUGGGGCAGGAAUCUCACAGAACAACCUUUCGUGCUCUAUUUCAUCAAAACCACUGCAUGCAAGCAUAGAGACAAACAUGAGAUUAGACAUACGAAAUCAAUGGAACAUUUUACCAUCCAAAAAAAGGGCUCUGUCACUAUGAUCGAAUAGCUUCUGCUCCUGCUUCUGAUGUCUCAUGUCAGGAGGGGCAGAUGAGAAAGGGGCACGUGGCAGAAACAGCUUCACAAAAUAGAGUCUGGUAACUGGCGACCAGACAGCUCCGUAUCAGACACAUCUACAAGGAACAAGAGGUUCUCAAGAACCAGACAGCAACUGUUAGCCUUUUAGGAGUGAAAUUUGUCUGUUUGUCCAAAAAUAUUUGCUAUCUGAACAUCAGCAAUUUUUAUUUCUAUUUUGGAGAUUUUGUUGAAUUCCACUAAAUUGCUUUCAUUCGCUGCAUGAAACCUUCCAUCUACUCGGUGCUUCGGUUGUUUUUUCCAUCUCUUCUAAACUCUUUUUC